Non-coding RNA from Python bivittatus (Burmese python), 803 nucleotides. NCBI's taxonomy places the organism in Eukaryota, Metazoa, Chordata, Lepidosauria, Squamata, Pythonidae. The record is from RefSeq and is a predicted model, not a curated record.
UACUGGGGAGAUGGCUUCAUCAGGAGAAGAACCCUUUUUGAUGUUAUCUUGAGCUUACAUUUCAGGGAAUGCAAACUUCUGGGAUUAUAUUGAGAUCAUGGCAGUUCAGUUCAUAUUAAACUUUCUGACUAUUUGACAUUUGAAAUGAGUGGGCUACCUGCUUGCAAAAAGCCUACAAGAGCCUUAUCUUGGCUCUAGCUCUAUACUUCUAUACAUCCUCUGCAUCUCUGUUCUCUCUGGCUAUCCUUUAUGGAAAAUUACAGGUGUCUGCUUCAAACUUAUUAGAAUUCUUAUCUACAGCUACUACCAGAAAUUCACCUCAAACAUGGCUGCGUUUGAAAUGUUACCUUCAUCGCUACUGGCUUUAACUCUUUGCUUUGCAAAUUUUUAUUAAGAAAGUUGCAGGGGAUAACCCGGGAAAGAGCGCGAAUGCCUGGAGCACACAAGCCCCGAUUCACGCCGCAGCACCAGAAAAUUGGCCCGGCAAAACCGGAAAGAGAAGCCGGGAAAGUCCCGCGGGAAGCGACAGGAAUAAAAGCGAGGAGGAAGCCCGCAGAAACCCACACAGCACCCGGCGUCGCUGCAGCGGACGACUGCCCCAAGACGGCGUGGGCCGGGAACGCGCGAGAAAGAAAAGAUAAAGUAUGAUGCAUCUUAGCAAGUUACAGAAACAACAAGUCCCUUAAAAUCCACAUUGCUCAAAUCAGAAGACGUACAACAGUCAAAAUGACAAAGCAUAAGAAUUAAAGAUAUCCAAAUUAAUCAACCCUUGAAUGAGAAGAAAUUUUAAAGUACUGAAUAUU